Molecule: ribosomal RNA, 305 nt
Filed under: uncultured bacterium
Lineage: Bacteria
Description: bacterial SSU rRNA
Rfam family: Bacterial small subunit ribosomal RNA
Source: RNAcentral
GUGUGCCUACGGGACGCAGCAGUGGGGAAUAUUGCACAAUGGAGGGAACUCUGAUGCAGCGACGCCGCGUGAGUGAAGAAGUAAUUCGUUAUGUAAAGCUCUAUCAGCAGGGAAGAAAGUGACGGUACCUGAAAAAGAAGCUCCGGCUAAAUACGUGCCAGCAGCCGCGGUAAUACGUAGGGGGCGAGCGUUAUCCGGAUUUACUGGGUGUAAAGGGAGCGUAGACGGUUCUGCAAGUCUGAAGUGAAAGCCCGUGGCUUAACCGCGGAACGGCUUUGGAAACUGUGGAACUGGAGUGCUGGAGG